This is a long non-coding RNA of Syngnathus typhle (broad-nosed pipefish), 1344 nucleotides long. RefSeq lists it as uncharacterized. The transcript has 3 exons. The record is from RefSeq and is a predicted model, not a curated record. Lineage: Eukaryota; Metazoa; Chordata; Actinopteri; Syngnathiformes; Syngnathidae.
UCAUUGCGCUCUCAAUUACAGUGGAGAUGUGGCAUUGUGCAUCUAUUUGGAGAGCACCAGAGGUUAGGAGGACAGGUUUGAAUAUUUCCCCCAGCAGUUCUGCCCUCUAGCAAAUCCGCAUGUUUCCCUCAAUGAAGGAAAGAUGACGAGCAACAAACCGGUCCACACGAAUGGGUAGGCUUUAAACUUGAGUAGGCCUUUUUUUUAUGUUUUUGAACUUUGCUUCAACAGCUGCGGAACUUGUAGUGAUGCUGGUGCUUUUGAAGAGAGGGACCAUUAUUGCUGUCCAGAGUGGCAAGUCACUUACAAGUCUUGUUAUGUGGGGAAUAAUCUCAGGGAGGAAGUGGAUGUUGUCUCGAUCCCCAUCAGCCAUGGCAAGUGACCUGCUCUCCUCACAUAUUUCUGUCACCCACUGUCGGACAUUAGUCUGGAUGUGCUGAUUUAAUGCAUCACCUGGUUCUUGUCCCUCAACUUCCUCAUCUGAAAUGGGGACAAAUUCCUCUGCGAUUUGCGCUCUCAAGUAUUUCUUGCACUUUUCUGAUGGGAUAGGGGCUCCAGAAUUGACAUUACCCUCUGUCUCACUCCGUGCCACAAUGGUAGAAGCACGAAGACGUUCUUUUGCAUGUUGCAAACAUUGUGACUUAAGAAGCUGUGCUAUUGACCUGACAAAGAAAUCCUUAACACAAGGUAUUUUGUCUUUCAGGCAGUCCCAUCGGCAGAUCAUCUUAAUACAGUGUGCGACAUCUACCCUGACAAAACAUGGGGGUAGAUGUCCAGGUUGAUUCCCACGUGAAAUGUUAAAGCUCUUCAGAUCAGGAUGAGGGGUAAAAGCUUUGACUAGAACUCCAAGAAUCGCCAGAGAAAAGUCACUCACUGCUUCUUUAGGAACAGAUGCACCUGCAUGGGUCCAUUCUUUCAGCCACUGUGUGAUAGCAUUAACAUCAUGCUUCUCUGACAGCCUCUGCACGACUGGGAUACUGGAGCUGGUAUGCCCUGUCAUAACACCCUGAUACAGGAAGAUAUGGCCAGACAUGCCAUUCGGUCUCAUCAGUUUUUUAACUAUUGAGCCAGUUGCAUCAAUAUUGGGGUGGCCAAAUUUGGCAGGUGGCUUGGCUCAGAGUCUCCGAAGUCCAUCAGUUUAUUUGCCUGUGAUGCUCGCCAUACAUGUGGUUCCAUCCUGCCCUCACAAAGUUCCUUGGCUACCUCCACACGCAACUGUCCAGAUAGAAACCAGUGUCUAGGGCAGGGGUGGGCAAUUAUUUUUUCCAUGGGGCCACAUGAGAAACAGAAAAUAUUGUGGGGGGCCGGGUCAAAAGGCUUAACUCAAUUCUACAUAAUAUUAAU